CCUGGCGGCAAUAGCGCGGUGGUCCCACCUGACCCCAUGCCGAACUCAGAAGUGAAACGCCGUAGCGCCGAUGGUAGUGUGGGGUCUCCCCAUG
Molecule: ribosomal RNA, 94 nt
Filed under: Serratia marcescens
Lineage: Bacteria; Pseudomonadati; Pseudomonadota; Gammaproteobacteria; Enterobacterales; Yersiniaceae
Also listed under: 2 other names
Source: RNAcentral